Phacochoerus africanus (Common warthog) is the source of this 1596-nucleotide long non-coding RNA. RefSeq lists it as uncharacterized. The transcript is spliced from 4 exons. The record is from RefSeq and is a predicted model, not a curated record. Lineage: Eukaryota; Metazoa; Chordata; Mammalia; Artiodactyla; Suidae.
AUGAAGAAGCCCAGAGCGUGCGCAGCCCGGCAGCGCCUAGUGGAUUACAGUAGCCUCCAGGGCCCACCGCCGCCUCCUGCUCGGCACCUCCGGGUUUGGGACCGUGAGACAGCGCCGCUUGCUCCGGCCCCAGCCGAGGGCGGCUCUGUGCCUGCAAGCAGCGCCUGCCUCGGGGUCUGCAGCAGCAGCCGAACGGAGAGGCCAGCCGGGCUCAGGGACCAGGAAGAAGACUGUUCUGACUCCUUGGCUGCUUGGUAACCCCGGCCCUGGUACAAGGAUGGGGAACUCCUUGCUGCAAAUUGCCAUCAAGCACUUCAGGCUACCUGAACCAGCUCUGAAAAGUGAGCAUCGGCUGGUGGCAGCUCCGAGGAAAAGGCUGGGGCUGGCAACGGUCUGGGUACUCACUCUGGGUGGAACCCGGAGGUAGUAACGUUGUCUAUAUAUACCCUGUAGAACCGAAUUUGUGUGGUAUCCACAUAGUCACAGAUUCGAUUCUAGGGGAAUAUAUGGUCGAUGCAAAAACUUCACAUUUCUCCGAAACAGCCAGAAUCGGAAGUGGAGGCCAGAGGCAGCCGGCGGGGCAGUCGCCUCUUUCUGUUUUAUUACCUUGGACCCUAGGAGGAUCAUCUGAGUCCAGUGACUCUAGAGCAGCCUUUUCCUGGAGGAGCUCCUCACCUUUAAAGAGAGGCCCCUGUGUAAACUCCUAAUUGGUUGCAGGAAUGCAAGGCCAAAAGGUUAGGUUUAAGGAGACUGGGGAGAGAGGUAGGAGUCCAGGUACCCCAGCCCCAGCUCUGCCCUCCAGGGACAUAAAGUUGGAGGGUGCCCAGUGAGGGGACUCAUGGGCUGUUCCUGCCGUGUGGGUAGAAGGUGAGCUGGGAAGAAGGAGCUUAGGGUCCAUUUGGGUGAGAUGGGGUGCCCUCACCUUCUUCCUGGCCCACCCUUCAGUUGCCCUAGCUGGAGCAUCACCAGGGCCCUUGCCAUAGCAGCAAGGCCCAGGUUUGGCUAGAAACACCCCGGCCUGGGUAUUUGCAGAGAGCUUGGUGGUUACUCAUUGCCUAAUUUGAUUCAAGCCAGCCAGAUUGUGGUAACUUUUGGGUGACCCUGAUGAAGACAAAGCCGGCAUUCGGCCUUUGUAUGGUAGAGUCCUCGCUCCCGCGGGCUGGGCGAGCAGGAGUCCUGCCUGCCUGGGGUUCUCUGCCCAACUCAGAAACCACUUAUUCCACCCACUUUUGGUGCCAUACACCCUGAAAGAUAUGUGGAUUCAUUCCCCCUUGAUCUGUGCCCAUUUGGGGGACUGAUUUCAGGCAGGGUGAGUGGAGAGGGCAUUGGAGGUUAGCAGAGUCAGUGGCGGACAAAAGCUGGGCUUACCUGUGGGGAAUGAGGGUGCUGAGAUUAGAACUACAUUAACAUCUGGUAGGGACCCUCAAAUGUGCCUCGGCAAGUCACUUGAUUACACGUAUGUUAUUUAGUUAAAUUUGCGAAAAUUAUAAGAUGCUCACCAACCCGGUGAUAAACUCACUCCCUCGCUAUUGGCUGGCGUGGUCACAUGGCCGCCAACUUUAUUCAGUUGACAGCAAGUAGGAGGGCCCUAUGGAA